Callithrix jacchus (white-tufted-ear marmoset) is the source of this 1144-nucleotide long non-coding RNA. The record is from Ensembl. NCBI's taxonomy places the organism in Eukaryota, Metazoa, Chordata, Mammalia, Primates, Cebidae.
CAGUUUGCUCUAAUCUUUUGAAAUUUGUGUCAUUCCAUAGCAACUGAAUCAGUUUCCAAGUCCUUGGCAUAUCAUUCCACAUAUCUCUUGCUUAUUUUAUUUAUUUAAAUUCCUACUAACCUAUUAUGAUCAUUCUUUAUUCUAGGCUUUCAUCCUAUCUUAUCUGCAUUAUUCAAUAGCAAAUUCAAACUACUCCAUUUACAGAAUUUCCUCCCCUUGUAAUGAUCCUGCCAUACAUAUCCUCUGAAUCCUUUGUGGACAACAUAGGGUGACUUACCUAACCUCUGUUCCUACUUGCAUUUCCCUUGUUUGCUCCUACCAUAGGGACUAUAAAAGUUAUCUACAGCAGAAUUCUACUGGGUGGAUGUUGAGAAAAUUUGCCUUCUUCUCAAAUGUGAAGUGACAUGGCAUAAAAUGGAGAGUACUGCUGCUGUUAUUCUUCUUCCUGUUUCUCCCGCUGUUGAACAGAAUAAGUGACCUCUCAUUGAGGAGAGAGGGAAGAAGGACGAACGAAAAUGAGGUUUUCUCUGAUGGCAAGUCAAUUUAAGAGAACCCUCUGAUCAAUGAGUGUGCUUGGUUAAGCUCUUUGAAGAUUGGUUUGAACAACAUUCCAAGAAAAGACAUAGGUGCAAAUGCUAUAAAACUGGAGUGCACAGGUGUUUUUACGAAACCAAAAGCAAUGUGGCUGGGGCAAGUAAGCAACAAAGCAAGAAGACUGUGGGAAGAUGACAUUGUGCACAGACAAGAUUAUGUGGCGCCUUGAGGGACGUGGCAAGAAGUUGGAUUUUAGUUUCCUGCAGUAAAAACCUAUUGAUGGUGAUCUGAUUACAUUGAACAUCUCAGAAACAAAAUUAUGGCUGCUGGUUGGAUGAUAGGAGAAUAAGAGUGGAAAGCAAGGAGAUGGAAACUUAACAAGCGGUUGAUGUAAAUUUGGCUAGAGAUGAUGGUGAAUUUGUAAUCACUAAGAGGUGGUAGGAUUCAGGACAUAUGUUUUGAGGGAUCUUCCUGAUGAAUGAGAUGAGAGUGAGCAAAAGAGUGGAGUCAAGUGUGCAUGUUAGUUUUGUUUGUCUUCCCCUGAGGAAUUGGGUUGUCAUUGCUGCUGUUUGCUAAGAUGGGAAAAGCUUAGAAACAAGAACAUAAAAUA